RNAcentral lists this ribosomal RNA (383 nucleotides) under uncultured bacterium. RNAcentral describes it as "bacterial SSU rRNA". It matches the Rfam family "Bacterial small subunit ribosomal RNA", at positions 362 to 768 of the family's 1533-position model. The record is from RNAcentral.
UUUUCCACAAUGGACGAAAGUCUGAUGGAGCAACGCCGCGUGCAGGAUGAAGGCCUUAGGGCCCUAAACUGCUUUUAUAUGUGAAGACUUCCGACGGUAGCAUAUGAAUAAGGAUCGGCUAACUCCGUGCCAGCAGCCGCGGUCAUACGGAGGAUCCAAGCGUUAUCCGGAAUUACUGGGCGUAAAGAGUUGCGUAGGUUGCAUAGUAAGUUGGUAGUGAAAUAGUUCCGCUCAACGGAAUAAACAUUAUCAAAACUGCUAAGCUAGAGUAUGAGAGAGAUCACUGGAAUUCCUAGUGUAGGAGUGAAAUCCGUAGAUAUUAGGAGGAACACCAAGGCGUAGGCAGGGACGGCUCGUUACUACAUGGGCGGAGGUGCUCAUCG